RNAcentral lists this long non-coding RNA (4092 nucleotides) under Nicotiana tabacum (common tobacco). RNAcentral's name for it is "long non-coding RNA (NTAB_LNC006470)". The record is from RNAcentral. Lineage: Eukaryota; Viridiplantae; Streptophyta; Magnoliopsida; Solanales; Solanaceae.
CACAUAUUGUGAGUUAAAUACAUGGUUUAUAUGUGGAUCUAAGCAUGAGAAAUUGUAGAAAUUGUGGGAUUUUUGGUAGAAAAUCUAGAAUUUGGUAUUUUUGGAGUUGGACCAUGAAAUUGGACGUGGAAUUGAGAAUAAAUUAUAUAUUUGAGUUCGUAAGGUUAUGGGUAAUGUUUAUCUUCAAAAAUUUUCGGAUCGAGUUUUCACAGAGGAUUUUAAAUCUGUUGUGUGGUUAAGGAUCGAGUUUUCACAGAGGAUUACGGAUGGGACUUGGAAGGUUCUAUGUUAUCAUCGGCUAUUUAGUGCAGUAUUGGAGGAAAGGAAUAAAUAGCUUCGGAUGUGCGGAAGGUCUUGCAGAAUAGGUGUACCAGUUGGAGAUGCUAUUGUGCGCAUAAAGAGGGUAUGAAAUGGUUCAUGAGUGUUGAAAUGAUGUGGUCUCAUGAUGCGGGUCAUUCGGGAUGAGUGCGGAUUGAUUUCGUUAUGUUGUGAAUGGAGCUAUUAUUAUUUCUAAGACAGGUCAACAUUAAAUUGAAAGGAGUUGGUCGGUUAGUAAUGGUUGAAUCGGCAUGAUUGUGGCAAUGAUCAGUCCCUUCGGUGUGUGAAGUUAUACAUGUGGUUUGGGGACGAAUGUGCGGCUUGACAACCACCAUAACUUGAUUGAUUUAGGAGGUAUUUGAUUCCAAUGGCCUUGUUAUGUAAAUAGAUUCCGGAAGAGUCAUGGCAGUUUAGGUCAUGACUUGAGGUUUGUAUUUUUUGCGGUUUGGGCAUUUUGUUGCGUGUUGCAUCGGUUCUUCCGAAAUGAGUUAAGUUAAAGGUUUCUAGCCAAUGAAGUGUCUGUUCUACUGGUAAUUUAGGGGUUAUGAUGAAUUCUUGUAUUGUCUCGUAGCGACGUGAUGGGUGCAGUGAGCGACAUGGGAAUUAGAAGUUGAGGAUUAAGGUUGCGGUUCAGUGUUGAUAAGAAUAUCACGAGCUCGGAUGAGCAGGGAAGAAUUCAGAUGUUUAGAGUGAGAUGGCGUUAUCUUAGUGUUGCUUGAGAAUGGUGUUAUGUGGAAGAGGCAUUGUGUAUUGAUUGGCGGAUUGUGAUUUGCCUUGCAGAAUUUGUAUGGUUGGUGGUAUGGAUGUGCAGACUCUGCUACCUGAGCGGGAGGUUGUGAAAGUGUACCCCACGAGGAGAUUUGUAUAAGUGUGUCAUGUUAGUCACUUGAUUGUUAAAGAUUAAGACUAGGUAUGAAGGUUAUGGUAAUAUCGCAAAUGCGAGAGCUUAUGCCUGAGAGGCGCCGUAUUCCUUUGGUUGUGGUCCGUGUGAGUUUAUUUCAGAUUUGACGGUUGUUCUUAUGUGUCAUGAAUAGGGCCAUUUGGAUCUUUGGAAAGUUAUUGGCCCAGUAUGGUAUGAUCAGAAUCGGUGUGAGGUCCGUUGGUGGGACUAAUGUGAGUGCGUGCCCUGCGUCAGGUCAGAUGUGUUCGUUCGUCAUAGCAUUGCUUACGGAGGAGUCAUUGGGCAUUGGAUGCUAUUCUCAUCGUCAGCUAUUCCAUGUAAAUCUCUAUUGUGCCAUUUGGGUUGUGAGGCGGCUUGAUUAUUCGCACACGUAUUGAGGUCCCGUGUAGCUUGUGGUGUUAUGUGAGCAGGAUGACUCUCGAGAUGCAGGUCAUUUAUUGCACCUUAGUUGUGCUUGGGGUUCAUAACGUAUGGCGCUAUCCGUAUCCCCAGGAUUUGGUAUUAUGCACUUGGCGGGCUUGUGGUCGACAUUCGGGCAUUUCGUAAGUAUAAGCAUUGCGACUUGAUAUGUGUGAUUUCUUCGUGGUUGUUAUGUGUGGAUCGGGUUGCACGCCGCAACAGUGUCAUGUCGAAUCGGGUUGCACAUCGCAACAGUGAGAUUUUGAGCAUAACUCCUUACACUUAUUUUGUGUGUCUUGUUAUCCACCCCUGAGGUGGGUUCACAACAUCUAUUCUGCCGUUUUAUUCGUUAUGCAUGCUGGGUAGUCCUUCUCCAGAGUUCGUUCUUCAUUAUGUAUCACAUUCGAGUUGUAGCUUGUUGGCGUGUUGUGGGCGACAUAUAAGAUUUUUGCCAGUGUCUGAGAUGAUUUAUUGCCUGAGAAGCUUGUACUGGGUGAGACGAGAUUAUUGGACCUGAAAUUAGUGCAACCAGAUUUAUAUAAGGUACAUUAAAGAGAAUAUUGUUAUUCAGUUCAGAAUGAGGUAAUGGUUCUUGUCAGGCGGAGAGACUCCAUGAAUUAUUGAUUCGGUAGGUGGUUAUGAGUUUCUACACAUCCUUUUUGUCGUGGUAGUAUCGCGAGUUUUGGAAGAGGAUUUACAUGUGUCAUGAGAUGUAUUACACGCAUCGGAUUCAUAAAAUUCCAGCUAUUGUAGUCGAAGGAUGUUAUUAUGGGCAACCGACAUAUGUGGUGCAUGGUGCGAUUUCAGCAUAGAUGCAUGAUCAUGUUUUGGGUCAGUGUGUGGUGAUUUGUACGGUGUUCGCGUGUUAGGAUCAGGCCUUGUAAAGAAAUUCGGAAGUUGGAACUUGGUUCUCAAGCUUGUUAGCUAAGGUUAUGGGGAGGAUUUUUAGUCAGGCUCGAGCUAAUGUGUUCAACUGGAAUGUGGUGGCACAGUUAGGUGCACGAGGUGUUACACAAUAAUUUUGAAUAAAUCCAGAGCAGUCCCUAGCACGAUCGAGGAAAACGUAUGUUUAAGUGGGGGAGAAUGUAACGACCCGACCGGUCGUUUUGAGCUCUAGCGCGUCGUUCGGCGGUUUGAGUUCUUGAGUAGUUUCACUUAAGGUAUUAUUACUUCUACGUGUGGUCGGAAAUGAAUUUUGGGAAGUUCAGAGUUUAUUUGGAAAGAAAAUUCUAAUUUUGGAAGCUUUAAGUUGAAAGAAUUCACUAAGGUUUGACUUUUGAGUAAAUGACCUCAGAAUCAUAAUUUGAAGGGUCCAAUAGGUAUGUAUGAUAUUUUCGGACUUGGGCGUAUGUUCGGGUUGAGUAUCGGACCAUCUGGGAGCAUUUCAACGCUUAUUAUGGAAAGUUGGUAUUUUAAAAGUUUAAGAAAUUCUUAAAUUUGACUUGAAGUAAAUGUUAAUGUUAUCGAUGUCCGUUUGGGAUUCCAAGUCUUGGAAUAGGUUCGUAUUGUGAUUUAUGACUUGCGCGCAAAGUUUGGCGUCAUUCCGGAAUAUUUUGACAAGAAUCAGACGCGUUCGUCGAAGUUUGAAGGUUGGAAAGUUAAAAGAAAGGUUUUGGCCAUCGAUUUGUAAUUCUGAUGUUGUUUGACGUAGUUUAAGGCUUCGACUAAGUUCGUACUGUACUUUGGGAUGUAUUGGUAUGUUUGGACGGGGUCCUGGGGGCAUCGGGUGAGAAUCGGAUUGAAAACGGAUCGAGUUUGGACUUGGGAGGAAGGCUGAAGCAGCUGGCAUCUGGUGUAACCGCACCUGCGAGGUUUUGGUCGCAGGUGCGGAGCCGCAUAAGCGGAACUGUGGCUGCAAAAGUGACUUUUGGACUAAGCUGGGAUGGCCGCAGAUGCGAGUGUAUUUCCGCAUCUGCGAGCCAGCAGAUGCGAAGGGUGCUCCGCAGAAGCGAAAAAUGAGAUGGGCAGCUCGGGUCGCAGAAGCAGAAGAUCUCCGCACGUGCGAAGGAGAAGGGGCGCGUGGUGGACCACAUAAGUGGUCGUGCAGAAGCAAAAAAUGGUCCGUAUAAGCGGAUUUUGCCUGUCUUGGAGGGAACGACACAUGCGAUAAAUUUUUCGCAGGUGCGGAAGGUCGGGUGUGCAAAUUGUUUUAAAAUCAGGGUUUUACUCAUUUCCCUCAUUUUCUCACAUGGUUUGGGCGGUUGUUGGGGAGCUUUAAGAAGAGAUUUUCAUCAUCUAUGUCAAGGUAAGUAAUUACCACAUAUUGUGAGUUAAAUACAUGAUUUAUAUGUGGAUUUAAGCAUGAGAAAUUGUAAAAAUUAUGGGAUUUUUGGUAGAAAAUCUAGAAUUUGGUAUUUUUGGAUUUGGACCAUAAAAUUGGACGUAGAAUUGAGAAUAAAUUAUAUAUUUGAGUUCGUAAGGUUAUGGGUAAUGUUUAUCUUCAAAAUAUUUCGGAAUCCGCCCGAGCACGUUGG